Molecule: ribosomal RNA, 718 nt
Filed under: uncultured bacterium
Lineage: Bacteria
Description: partial 16S ribosomal RNA
Source: RNAcentral
CAUGGAUGUUCCUCCUGAUCUCUACGCAUUUCACUGCUACACCAGGAAUUCCGCUACCCUCUACCACACUCUAGUCGUCCAGUAUCCACUGCAGUUCCCAGGUUGAGCCCAGGGCUUUCACAACGGACUUAAACGACCACCUACGCACGCUUUACGCCCAGUAAUUCCGAGUAACGCUUGCACCCUUCGUAUUACCGCGGCUGCUGGCACGAAGUUAGCCGGUGCUUAUUCUUUGGGUACCGUCAUCCCAACCGGGUAUUAGCCAGCUGGAUUUCUUUCCCAACAAAAGGGCUUUACAACCCGAAGGCCUUCUUCACCCACGCGGUAUGGCUGGAUCAGGCUUGCGCCCAUUGUCCAAUAUUCCCCACUGCUGCCUCCCGUAGGAGUCUGGACCGUGUCUCAGUUCCAGUGUGGCUGAUCAUCCUCUCAGACCAGCUACGGAUCGUCGCCUUGGUGGGCCUUUACCCCGCCAACUAGCUAAUCCGACAUCGGCUCAUUCAAUCGCGCAAGGUCCGAAGAUCCCCUGCUUUCACCCGUAGGUCGUAUGCGGUAUUAGCGUAAGUUUCCCUACGUUAUCCCCCACGAAAAAGUAGAUUCCGAUGUAUUCCUCACCCGUCCGCCACUCGCCACCCAGAGAGCAAGCUCUCCUGUGCUGCCGUUCGACUUGCAUGUGUUAGGCCUACCGCCAGCGUUCACUCUGAGCCAGGAUCAAACCCUG